Molecule: ribosomal RNA, 253 nt
Filed under: uncultured bacterium
Lineage: Bacteria
Description: partial 16S ribosomal RNA
Rfam family: Bacterial small subunit ribosomal RNA
Source: RNAcentral
UACGUAGGGUGCGAGCGUUGUCCGGAAUUAUUGGGCGUAAAGAGCUCGUAGGCGGUUUGUCGCGUCGAAUGUGAAAACCCGGGGCUCAACCCCGGGCCUGCAUUCGAUACGGGCAGGCUAGAGUUCGGUAGGGGAGUCUGGAAUUCCUGGUGUAGCGGUGAAAUGCGCAGAUAUCAGGAGGAACACCGAUGGCGAAGGCAGGUCACUGGGCCGCAACUGACGCUGAGGAGCGAAAGCAUGGGGAGCGAACAGG